GCUAAUACCGCAUACGUCCUACGGGAGAAAGCAGGGGACCUUCGGGCCUUGCGCUAUCAGAUGAGCCUAGGUCGGAUUAGCUAGUUGGUGAGGUAAUGGCUCACCAAGGCGACGAUCCGUAACUGGUCUGAGAGGAUGAUCAGUCACACUGGAACUGAGACACGGUCCAGACUCCUACGGGAGGCAGCAGUGGGGAAUAUUGGACAAUGGGCGAAAGCCUGAUCCAGCCAUGCCGCGUGUGUGAAGAAGGUCUUCGGAUUGUAAAGCACUUUAAGUUGGGAGGAAGGGCAGUUACCUAAUACGUGAUUGUUUUGACGUUACCGACAGAAUAAGCACCGGCUAACUCUGUGCCAGCAGCCGCGGUAAUACAGAGGGUGCAAGCGUUAAUCGGAAUUACUGGGCGUAAAGCGCGCGUAGGUG
This 420-nucleotide ribosomal RNA is filed under the name Pseudomonas sp. W1. RNAcentral describes it as "bacterial SSU rRNA". It matches the Rfam family "Bacterial small subunit ribosomal RNA", at positions 162 to 577 of the family's 1533-position model. The record is from RNAcentral. Lineage: Bacteria; Pseudomonadati; Pseudomonadota; Gammaproteobacteria; Pseudomonadales; Pseudomonadaceae.